RNA transcript from Xenopus laevis (African clawed frog), 2741 nucleotides. It is a transcript of the gene named tubulin monoglycylase TTLL3-like, with no coding region annotated. The transcript has 3 exons. NCBI's taxonomy places the organism in Eukaryota, Metazoa, Chordata, Amphibia, Anura, Pipidae. The record is from RefSeq and is a predicted model, not a curated record.
CAGGGGAUUUCAUACUUUUAGGGGCCUAUUUACUAACAAUUGAAUUUCUAUUUUUUCCACAAAUCUCUAAAAAAAAAUUGUGGUUUCUUUAUAUUUCUGUAAAACUCAAAAAAUUCAAGAUUUUUUUAAGUGUAAAAACCACAGAAAACAGUAAUACAAAAAUUUGCCAUGUAAAAGUAGUCAAGGUCCUACAGAAAUUAAGUAUAACAGAUGCUAUACCUGUAUAGGGAUUCUUGAUCUAUGGGUCAGGACCCAAAAAACAAGUCCCUAUGAUCAAAUAAUGACAAAGGAAACCUUUUACAACACUGAAGAAGCAAUGCUGUGCAUUAUAAUUUCAGCUUAUAGUUCUAAAUUGUGUGACAAUAUCUUUUCAUAACUCAAUAUUGCUGAGAAAUCUCUUUGUUUCUCUUUUGUAGGAGAAGCUUCUCUUAACUGUGGAUCCCAACUUCCUCUGGAUCCCAAGGGCUGACGCAAUGAACUACGAUUUACACCAGUGUUGGACUGGGCCACUAGGAUAUCAGAAAAACACCCAGGUGUUAGUGGGGCUCUUGCUUCUUACCAUUUGGCCAAUUUCAUGGUUAUUCCCUAUUUCUUUAUGGGGAAAAAGAGGCUUAAUAUUGGAAGAAUAGAAUAUAGUAAGUAGUUAUAAAAGACUAGGAGAAUAAAGAGGUUGAGUGAGGAGAGGAGGAAUAAUAGUUUGAAAAGUGGCCACAGUCUAAGGUUUUCUGGUGGGCCCCUGGAAUCCGAAACUGAUUUACUCAGACAGGAUCAAAUGAUAAACAGUUUUAAAAACGCUAAAUGCUUCACAACCAAGGUGAGUCCCUUAUACGCGUAGAACCAACACAGCAGGUUCGUGAUUUUGUACAUGAAAUAUUAUUGUCCUAUGUCAGUUUCUAACCACUAAGUCUGUGUCUUUCUGCUAGGCUGAGUUGUGUACCCUUAUGGACAGCAUGCGUUGGUUUUCAGAUGUCGAUCCUUACUCGUUUGUCCCAGACUGAGGCAGAAUGAUGAAUGUCAGAAAUUUAUUGAAGCACUGUAAGAACUCCCCAAAACAUCAUCCUGACCUUCCUGAAGAGAACACGUGGCAUGAUUAUCAGUUCAAAGAGUAUCUGCAGAUGACAGGAGCAUCUGAUGCAUGGGAUGAUAUAAUCUUGCCAGGGAUGAAGGAAAUCAUCAUCCAUACCAUGAAGAGUGCCCAGAAUAAAGUUGAGCACAGGAAAAAUACAUUUCAUUUAUAUGGUACAGAUUUUAUAUUUGGCGAGAAUUUCCAGCCAUGGCUGAUAGAAAUCAAUGCCAGUCCUGCACUGUCAAGCUCCACAUCUUUCAGGAGCAAGUUGACAACCCAGGCUCAAGAAGACAUCCUACAUGUUGUACUUGACUGUAAAGAAGAUAGCAAAUGUGAUGAAGGUGACUUUGAACUCCUAUAUAAACAGGUAUGCUAUGCUACACUAUGCUACUAGGUGCCAUUCUCUCUUACACACUCUUGAUGCAGUGUGUUCUCAUAUUGAUAUUGAAGAUGAAAGGAAUAUCUGGAUUAUAAAACCAGGAGCUAAAUCCCAAGGAAGAGGUAACUGACCUUGCUUAAUGUGUAUUUGUAUAUUUAGAGAAUGUUACAGUCUGUGUUCCAUUAAGUCACAGAUGAAGUUGUUCUGACUAUAAAAUUUUUACAGGUAUAAUAUGCAAGAACAAUCUGGAAGACAUCAUGUCACUCCUGGACAAAGAUGCGGUGAUUCCCAAUGAGGAUUUCUGUGUGGUACAGAAAAACAUCACAGCCUUUCUCAGUGAAGAAUCUAAGCAGUUUUUGCAGAUCCAUACACCUGUGUAACAAUGCCGUACAGAAGCACUGUAAGAACUCCCUGAAACAUCAUCUUGACCUUCCUGAAGAGAACAUGUGGCAUGGUUAUCAGACAAAGAGUAUCUGCAGAUGACAGGAGCAUCCGAUGCAUUGGAUCGGGCCUUGGGUCACUGGCAGGGUGCUGGACUGGAUCAGCAGAGCCCACUGUUUUUUUUUCCGGUGUCCCGCUGGUCCAGUCUGACCCCACAGAUUACUUUUUAAGGAUAGAGAAACAAGGAUUGAAUGGUCCUUGUUCUCUUGAACCUUUUUUUCAACCUUCUGUAUGUUUAUUUUUUAAGAACAAUUAUGGUUUUAUAAAGCAUUAAAUAAAUAUAUGCUUCUCAUCACAGCCUUUCUAAGUGAAGAAUCUAUGCAUGUGGCAUGAUCAUCAGUUCAAAGAGUAUCUGCAGAUGACAGGAGCAUCUGAUGCAUGGGAUGAUAUAAUCUUGCCAGGGAUGAAGGAAAUCAUCAUCCAUACCAGGAAGAGUGCCCAGGAAAAAUAAAUUUCAUUUAUAUGGUGCAGAUUUUAUGUUUGGCGAGAAUUUCCAGCCAUGGCUGAUAAAAAUCAAUGCAAGGCCUGCACUGUCAAACUCCACAUCUGUCAGUAGCAAGUUGAGCAAGAACACAUCCUACAUGUUGUGUUGUCUUUGACCGUAAAGAAGAUAGCAAAUGUGAUGUUGGUGACUUUGAACUCCUAUAUAAACAAGUAUAUUUAUACCCGUCAAUAUUUGUCUAUUUAUUGAAUAAUCAUUAUGUUGUGCAGAGUACCAGGGUCGAAUUGAGGGUGUGGGGCACACCGGGGCUUCCGUCUCACGGGUCCACCGCACAUCUAGCUCCGCUUCCUAGCCACAUCCCCCCUGCUCUGCUGCCCCUUCCCCCCACGGCAGGAUUGGGGCCUUGGGUCACU